Molecule: unclassified non-coding RNA, 412 nt
Filed under: uncultured Ascomycota
Lineage: Eukaryota; Fungi; Ascomycota
Description: sequence contains ITS2
Source: RNAcentral
AACUUUCAGCAACGGAUCACUGGCUGUCUCGAACACGAUCGGAAUUGCGGCAGUCGCCGCCUUUGCCGCCACUGACGAUGGACUACCGCCCGCCGCAAUCACGGCGACCUGACGGUGAACCAAUUCGGCCGCGAGCACUGGCAGUCGAUCGUCGAGGUCCGCCGCCCAGCGAUAUUCGAUAACCACGUUCUGGCCAUCGAUAUAUCCUUCCUCUUUCAGCCCCUGAGCGAACGCGCGCAGACGGGGCGCGUAGACCUGAGGCGAUGUACUGCUGAGGAAGCCGAUCACCGGCAUAGCGCGCUGCUGCGCGCGCGCGGCGAGUGGCCAUGUCGCCGCCGUGCCACCGAGAAGCGUGACGAACUCGCGUCGCUUCAUGAUCGCGCCCCCUUAAGCAUAUCAAUAAGCGGAGGCU